GUAACGGCGAGUGAAGCGGCAACAGCUCAAAUUUGAAAUCUGGCCCCGUCGGGGUCCGAGUUGUAAUUUGUAGAGAGUGUUUCGGGCGAGACCACGGUCUAAGUCUAUUGGAACAUGGCGUCAUAGAGGGUGAGAAUCCCGUAUGUGACCGUGGCUCGAGCCCAUGUGAAGCCUCUUCGACGAGUCGAGUUGUUUGGGAAUGCAGCUCAAAAUGGGUGGUAAAUUUCAUCUAAAGCUAAAUACUGGCUGGAGACCGAUAGCGCACAAGUAGAGUGAUCGAAAGAUGAAAAGCACUUUGGAAAGAGAGUCAAAAAGUACGUGAAAUUGUUGAAAGGGAAGCGCUUGCAACCAGACCUGUCCGUAGGUGAUCAGCCGCUGUUCUCAGUGGUGCACUCGCUCUGCGAUCAGGCCAGCAUCGGUUCCGGCGGUCGGAUAAAGGCCUUGGGAAUGUAGCUCCCUUCGGGGAGUCUUAUAGCCCUCGGUGCAAUGCGGCCAGCCGGGACCGAGGACCGCGCUUCGGCUAGGAUGCUGGCGUAAUGGUUGUAAGCGACCCGUCUUGAAACACGGACCAAGGAGUCUAACAUCUAUGCGAGUGUUUGGGUGUUAAACCCAUGCGCGGAAUGAAAGUGAACGGAGGUGAGAACCCUUUAGGGCGCAUCAUCGACCGAUCCAGAUGUCUUCGGAUGGAUUUGAGUAUGAGCAUAGCUGUUGGGACCCGAAAGAUGGUGAACUAUGCCUGAAUAGGGUGAAGCCAGAGGAAACUCUGGUGGAGGCUCGCAGCGGUUCUGACGUGCAAAUCGAUCGUCAAAUUUG
This 813-nucleotide ribosomal RNA is filed under the name Usnea wasmuthii. RNAcentral's name for it is "LSU rRNA". It matches the Rfam family "Eukaryotic large subunit ribosomal RNA", at positions 83 to 913 of the family's 3401-position model. Lineage: Eukaryota; Fungi; Ascomycota; Lecanoromycetes; Lecanorales; Parmeliaceae. The record is from RNAcentral.